RNAcentral lists this long non-coding RNA (1046 nucleotides) under Neogale vison (American mink). RNAcentral describes it as "Neovison vison (American mink) lncRNA (ENSNVIG00000014702.1)". The record is from RNAcentral. Lineage: Eukaryota; Metazoa; Chordata; Mammalia; Carnivora; Mustelidae.
CAAGAAACAAAAGGAGGAUCGGUUAGGACCACAAUGGGAAAGUAUGGAAGGUUCUAUUGAGAUACAGAUAGGUGUGUACAUAUGCACACACACACACACACACACUUACAGGCAGUUGAAUUCACACUUCCUUGAGCUAAUUCACUUUCUUCCUUGAAGAAAACUUCCAGGGGUCAGUUUUCUUCCAUGUGGGAAACUCACUUAGAGGAGGGUGAAUGGCAGCUGUAUUUUUGAGAGGAUCUGCUUAAGUUUCGGUGUUUCUGUGGCUGCUAACUGUUCAGAGGUUUCCAGUUUAAAGUAAUUUUCAUACCACAUCAGUGCAUUGUCAAUCCUUUCAGUUUGAUAAACGACUGGCUGGGCCUCAGCCUCUGCCAAAUAUCAUGUCUCCCCGACAACACAGAACACACUCAACCCUUAACUGAAAAGGACAUCCUAAAAUGCUACCCAGUUAUUGCAUUCGGGAACAAAGCGCUUUUGUGCACAACCUUGUUGAAGAUCUGGUCUCCUCCUGGCCAACAGUGUCCCUCCAUGACUGACCAGGAUAUUCUGUCAACAGAUAGCAUCCAAUCCCUGUUCAUUGCACUUUUGAUCCUGCCUUUGGAAACACAUCCAAUCCAGAACUGUGGCAAUCCUUGGAACUCUCAGCGGGAGCUACAACCUUCCAAAAAUGCUGCCUUCCGCCCCCUUGUGGAGGAGCAUUCUCGGUUCCUCUGGGCUGUGUCUCUCCAUUCUCCAAACCUGCCUGGCUGUGGAGAUCAAUAAUCUGAAUAUCAUCUUCAGUUAAUCAGGCUUUAACAACAUAGUACAGCCUUCUGGAGCACAAUCUUGAUUGAUUUUUUUUUUAAGGUGAUGGCUUCCUGCAGCAAACCCUCACAGAUUUCUGAAUGACUACUGAACUUGUGAAAAGGCACUCAACUAAUUAAAAUCAUAAUGUGAUACACCCACAUACUCACCACAAUGGCUACAAUUUGAAAGACUGGCAAAUUAAAGUAUUGGUACAUGUGUGGAGUCAUGGGAAAGAGAGAAUAAAACGAAAUAACCACUCA